GGAGGAGUGGCUGAGUGGUUGAAAGCGGCGGUCUUGAAAACCGUUGUCCUCGCAAGGGGACCGUGGGUUCGAAUCCUACCUCCUCCGCCA
Molecule: transfer RNA, 90 nt
Filed under: Candidatus Omnitrophota bacterium
Lineage: Bacteria; Pseudomonadati; Candidatus Omnitrophota
Description: tRNA-Ser
Rfam family: tRNA
About the family: Transfer RNA (tRNA) molecules are approximately 80 nucleotides in length. Their secondary structure includes four short double-helical elements and three loops (D, anti-codon, and T loops). Further hydrogen bonds mediate the characteristic L-shaped molecular structure. tRNAs have two regions of fundamental functional importance: the anti-codon, which is responsible for specific mRNA codon recognition, and the 3' end, to which the tRNAs corresponding amino acid is attached (by aminoacyl-tRNA synthetases). tRNAs cope with the degeneracy of the genetic code in two manners: having more than one tRNA (with a specific anti-codon) for a particular amino acid; and 'wobble' base-pairing, i.e. permitting non-standard base-pairing at the 3rd anti-codon position.
Source: RNAcentral